CACAGAAGCUCAGCAGUACGUCAGCGCCUUGCUGUGUUGGCUCCUGUCACAACUAUUAACAGUGACAGCGAAGAAAGAACAGCGGGCGAGGGAGAUUGAAGACCGGGCGAGGGAGAUUGAAGACCGUGAUAAUGCAGUUUAUUUCACUGGGCUUUCAGUUCUUCCUGUUGUGGAGAAGUUCCGGAAAUUGGAGAAUUCGAUGUUCAAUUCCCUCCCUCCCUCCCUCCCUCCCUCCCUCUCCCUUCCCCCAUCCCACUUUCACUCUGCCUCCUCUUCCAGCUGCCUAUCACCUCUCUCAUGAUUCUGCCUUCUUCUACAACCCAUAGUGCUUUCCCCUUACAUUCCUUCUUCACCUCUCCUGCCUUUCCCCUCCCUGCUUCCUCUCCCCCACCCCUUGAUCUUUCCUCUGAUUGGUUUCUCACCUGGCACCUUCCACCCACCUUCUUUACAGGGCCCCUGCCUCCUCCUCCUUCGGUCCUGACGAAGGGUCUCAGCCCGAAACGUUGACUGCUCGUUUCAACGGGUGCUGCCCGACCUGCUGAAUUCCUCCAGCUUGUUUGUAAGGGUCUUUAUUGGAGCAAGUCAGGCUCACUUGAGCUCGUAGAGUUCACUGUGGAGUCCAUGUAUCCCAAGGAGGAGCAUCACAGGCAGCACUACCCACGAGCUCCCUGCUGCGUUUUCUGAUGCUACAGUUCACCUUGAAGCUGCACACAACGUGCUUCGAUUCAUUUACACUUGUGGGUUUUAAUUUCACUCCUUCAGCGAAUGCAAAAAUUUGUUUUUGUUCUGGUAAUUCACAUAUUUGUUUUUAACUCUGUAUGUGUACAUUUCCUUAAGGGCAAUAAAACUGCUGAUGACUGUCCAGGUUUUCUCUUUCCCUCAGACAUUCUCUAGAUUUUACUUCAUGCCUUUUUUAAUGUGGGUUAGGAGCCAAAUUUCAUUGGACUGAUGGUAUGGCUCACCCUGAUUUCUUUAUUAAUCUGGUCAAAUUGAAAUACUUUGCCCAGGUAAACACACAAACCCUCAGUCUUCUGUUCAGGUGUAACAACUCGAGCUUCAGUUCCCUUUUUUCUAUAGUGGGGUUCACUACUUUGACUAUUACUUUAAUUUUGUCUCGUUUAACACUCAAUUUACUUUUACCAUCAACUUGGACAAUCUGAUAAUUUUAUUGCCACUCCACCAGUUGCAACAGUUUAAAUUUUAUUGGUACUCUACCAGCUUGUAACAACUUUUUUUACGUAGAACACUUUUAACUUGUGCUUGCAUUUUUAACACUAGAUUGUAACUGAAAUAUCGAGUAUCACUCGAUUGAGACUGAGGUUUUUUUUGUACAUAUUUAAGUUUAUCGGUAUAAAGUAUAGCAGACUUUUUCUUCAUUCUUAGACUUCCUUUGGAUGGUGUAUUGAAGCAAGAACUAGGAAAUUUCUCUGAUUAGGAAUCUUGCCUUCUAUUAAAUGUGUGCACUAAACUUUCGCCUUUGUCUGAGAAUCUUCCACACCCUUAAAUCUUUGCAACAGCCUGCCAACAUCGACAAACUGCUUGAUCCUGAUGCUUUUGCAAUCCAAAGGGUUCCUCGGCAACUAAAAAUGAGGCAUAAUACUUGUUACAGACGAUUGUUUUAUUGAGUGUUACAAGAGCAAAGAAAAGGAAAGAAAAGGCCUGGUGAGAGACACGGGGAAGACCAGGGAAAAGUAGUGGGUUCUUGUACUAGGACAUUGAUAACAGAAAAUCCAGUUGAAAUUCCAUUGAUAACGAUUAACCAAUAUCUAGAUUCAAGUAAUGUGGCAUGUGCUUAGUGACAGUAUUCCAUUGGAGAUGGCAGAUAUUGUGGAGACUGAUAUGCUGGAUUGGGGCACAUCCUGGAUGGUGAGAGCCCUUGGUGAUGGAUACAGCCUUCUUGAUGGUUGUGUCUGUGAUGGAGCUGGCUAAAUCUAUAACACCUUGCAGCUUCUUAUGGUCCCGUGCUUUGGAGUCGCCAUAUCAGGCUGUAAUGCAACCAGUCAUAUUGCUCUCUACCAUACAGCUGUAAAAAUUUAUAACCCUCUUAACUCAUCAAACUGUCAACGAGUCGAGUUGCCGGUGUGACUUCUUUGUGGCCCCAGGAUUGACACUGUGGACUUCCACAAACUAAAAUCUGCUCACCCUUCCACCACUGACCCCUCAGUGAAGACUGGUGUACUCUCUCAACUUCAUUUCCUGUGCAAGGUUAUCGUUGAAAUGUUGUGACACCACUCAACCACCUCAACCUCCUCAUUUCUAUUGGGAUGGACAGUGGUGUCAACAAGCAAAUUUACAGAUGGCAUUUGAGCUUUGCAUAACCACAAAUUAUGAGUGUAAAGGGAGCCAGUGGGCUAAGCACACAUCCUUGAUACAUAGUGGGAUCGCCAUAAUUCAUCUCAACGAUCUAAAUAUGGUAGCGUGCAAAUUCAACCUGUGUGCAUAAAGAAGGAUCUUUGAUAUUUUGAUAAGAUGGUGGCGCAUGCAAAUACAGUGGCCUCUUGGGGGGGGGGGUGUGGAAACCCAAGCUGCUUUUUUUUUCUUUGUGAAAUUUGUUGUUUUACGAUCCAAAGACAAUU
Long non-coding RNA from Hypanus sabinus (Atlantic stingray), 2576 nucleotides. RefSeq lists it as uncharacterized. The record is from RefSeq and is a predicted model, not a curated record. The transcript has 3 exons. Lineage: Eukaryota; Metazoa; Chordata; Chondrichthyes; Myliobatiformes; Dasyatidae.